RNAcentral lists this ribosomal RNA (1372 nucleotides) under uncultured bacterium. RNAcentral describes it as "bacterial SSU rRNA". It matches the Rfam family "Bacterial small subunit ribosomal RNA", at positions 28 to 1381 of the family's 1533-position model. The record is from RNAcentral.
GAUGAACGCUGGCGGCGUGCCUAAUACAUGCAAGUCGAGCGAACGGACGAGAAGCUUGCUUCUCUGAUGUUAGCGGCGGACGGGUGAGUAACACGUGGAUAACCUACCUAUAAGACUGGGAUAACUUCGGGAAACCGGAGCUAAUACCGGAUAAUAUUUUGAACCGCAUGGUUCAAAAGUGAAAGACGGUCUUGCUGUCACUUAUAGAUGGAUCCGCGCUGCAUUAGCUAGUUGGUAAGGUAACGGCUUACCAAGGCAACGAUGCAUAGCCGACCUGAGAGGGUGAUCGGCCACACUGGAACUGAGACACGGUCCAGACUCCUACGGGAGGCAGCAGUAGGGAAUCUUCCGCAAUGGGCGAAAGCCUGACGGAGCAACGCCGCGUGAGUGAUGAAGGUCUUCGGAUCGUAAAACUCUGUUAUUAGGGAAGAACAUAUGUGUAAGUAACUGUGCACAUCUUGACGGUACCUAAUCAGAAAGCCACGGCUAACUACGUGCCAGCAGCCGCGGUAAUACGUAGGUGGCAAGCGUUAUCCGGAAUUAUUGGGCGUAAAGCGCGCGUAGGCGGUUUUUUAAGUCAGAUGUGAAAGCCCACGGCUCAACCGUGGAGGGUCAUUGGAAACUGGAAAACUUGAGUGCAGAAGAGGAAAGUGGAAUUCCAUGUGUAGCGGUGAAAUGCGCAGAGAUAUGGAGGAACACCAGUGGCGAAGGCGACUUUCUGGUCUGUAACUGACGCUGAUGUGCGAAAGCGUGGGGAUCAAACAGGAUUAGAUACCCUGGUAGUCCACGCCGUAAACGAUGAGUGCUAAGUGUUAGGGGGUUUCCGCCCCUUAGUGCUGCAGCUAACGCAUUAAGCACUCCGCCUGGGGAGUACGACCGCAAGGUUGAAACUCAAAGGAAUUGACGGGGACCCGCACAAGCGGUGGAGCAUGUGGUUUAAUUCGAAGCAACGCGAAGAACCUUACCAAAUCUUGACAUCCUUUGACAACUCUAGAGAUAGAGCCUUCCCCUUCGGGGGACAAAGUGACAGGUGGUGCAUGGUUGUCGUCAGCUCGUGUCGUGAGAUGUUGGGUUAAGUCCCGCAACGAGCGCAACCCCUAAGCUUAGUUGCCAUCAUUAAGUUGGGCACCCUAAGUUGACUGCCGGUGACAAACCGGAGGAAGGUGGGGAUGACGUCAAAUCAUCAUGCCCCUUAUGAUUUGGGCUACACACGUGCUACAAUGGACAAUACAAAGGGCAGCGAAACCGCGAGGUCAAGCAAAUCCCAUAAAGUUGUUCUCAGUUCGGAUUGUAGUCUGCAACUCGACUACAUGAAGCUGGAAUCGCUAGUAACCGUAGAUCAGCAUGCUACGGUGAAUACGUUCCCGGGUCU